UUAAGAAUCUUGCACAAUGGGGGCAACCCUGAUGCAGCGACGCCGCGUGAAUGAUGAAGGCCUUCGGGUUGUAAAGUUCAGUAAGCAGGGAAGAAUAAGCAAGAGGUAAUAUUUCUUGUGAUGACGGUACCUGCCUAAAGCCCCGGCUAACUACGUGCCAGCAGCCGCGGUAAUACGUAUGGGGCAAGCGUUGUUCGGAAUUAUUGGGCGUAAAGGGCGUCUAGGCGGGGGAUUAAGUUAGAUGUGAAAGCUAUGGGCUCAACCCAUAAAUUGCAUCUAAGACUGGUUCUCUUGAGUUUGGGAGAGGAGAGCGGAAUUCCAGGUGUAGCGGUGAAAUGCGUAGAUAUCUGGAAGAACACCAGUGGCGAAGGCGGCUCUCUGGCCUAGGACUGACGCUGAAGCGCGAAAGCGUGGGGAGCAAACA
Molecule: ribosomal RNA, 424 nt
Filed under: uncultured prokaryote
Description: bacterial SSU rRNA
Rfam family: Bacterial small subunit ribosomal RNA
Source: RNAcentral